GGCUUGAUGGCGUAAUGGUAACGCACUCCGUGUAUCGAUUGACGGAAAGUCCGGAGUUCAAUUCUCUGUCAAGCCG
Non-coding RNA from Mycena latifolia, 76 nucleotides. NCBI's taxonomy places the organism in Eukaryota, Fungi, Basidiomycota, Agaricomycetes, Agaricales, Mycenaceae. The record is from the annotation of a GenBank genome assembly.